This 253-nucleotide ribosomal RNA is filed under the name uncultured bacterium. RNAcentral describes it as "partial 16S ribosomal RNA". It matches the Rfam family "Bacterial small subunit ribosomal RNA", at positions 524 to 776 of the family's 1533-position model. The record is from RNAcentral.
UACGUAGGGUGCAAGCGUUGUCCGGAAUUAUUGGGCGUAAAGGGCUCGUAGGCGGUCCAUCGCGUCGGGAGUGAAAAGCUGGGGCUUAACCCCAGUCCUGCUUUCGAUACGGGUGGACUAGAGGUAGGCAGGGGAGAACGGAAUUCCUGGUGUAGCGGUGAAAUGCGCAGAUAUCAGGAGGAACACCGGUGGCGAAGGCGGUUCUCUGGGCCGAUACUGACGCUGAGGAGCGAAAGCGUGGGGAGCGAACAGG